Choloepus didactylus (southern two-toed sloth) is the source of this 533-nucleotide long non-coding RNA. RefSeq lists it as uncharacterized. NCBI's taxonomy places the organism in Eukaryota, Metazoa, Chordata, Mammalia, Pilosa, Megalonychidae. The transcript is spliced from 3 exons. The record is from RefSeq and is a predicted model, not a curated record.
CCUUCUCCAGUCUCUACCUUCCUCCUGAGUUCUAAGCAGUGACCUAUUUGAAGCGCCUUGAAGAGAGGAAUCACCUUCCCCGUUCAGAAUGACCCACUCCCAGGGUCCCUGACAGGAUGCAAGAACCAGCAGGGGCAAGUCAAAACCUCCCUGAGCCUUCCUCCGAUCCAGAGGCCUUCUGCCCGAGAGAGCCAGCAGGGCGGCAAGGACGAAAGGCACGCCCGCCCCAUCCUGGGAACCAGAGAUGCGCCAGUUCUACUAGGUUACCAUUUCCACUUUUCUGUCAAGCCAAGGCAGAGAUUCCCUAGAGAAGACAGAAUGUUUGCUCUCAGCCAAAAGCCCACAAUGGAUCAGAAUUCUUUAACUGAGAUUACAAAGGAAAAAAGUUUAACUGCCUAGCUCAGCCUAGUCUGCACGUGACCGCCAGCCCCACGCACUGAACACGACGCCCGUUGCUCUUAAUGAGAAAUGCUCUUCAUGAAAAAUGAAUAAUGAACUUUGUUAAAUAUUUCCUCCCAGGAUGGGAGUCCUCA